RNAcentral lists this transfer RNA (75 nucleotides) under bacterium. RNAcentral describes it as "tRNA-Pro". It matches the Rfam family "tRNA". From Rfam's summary of the family: Transfer RNA (tRNA) molecules are approximately 80 nucleotides in length. Their secondary structure includes four short double-helical elements and three loops (D, anti-codon, and T loops). Further hydrogen bonds mediate the characteristic L-shaped molecular structure. tRNAs have two regions of fundamental functional importance: the anti-codon, which is responsible for specific mRNA codon recognition, and the 3' end, to which the tRNAs corresponding amino acid is attached (by aminoacyl-tRNA synthetases). tRNAs cope with the degeneracy of the genetic code in two manners: having more than one tRNA (with a specific anti-codon) for a particular amino acid; and 'wobble' base-pairing, i.e. permitting non-standard base-pairing at the 3rd anti-codon position. The record is from RNAcentral.
CGGGGUGUAGGUCAUCGGAAGACCGCUGUGUUCGGGACGCAGAGGUAGUGGGUUCAAUUCCCGCCACCCCGACCA